GCGAAAGUCUUCGGACGAGUAAAGCGGCGAAAGGGUGAGUAACACGUAACCAACGUACCCUUCAGAUCGGGAUAACCACUGGAAACGGUGGGUAAUACCGAAUGGUCCUACAGCUAGGCAUCUAGUCGGACGGUAAACGGCGGCUUCGGCUGCUGCUGAGGGAGCGGGUUGCGGCCUAUCAGCUAGUUGGUGGGGUAAUGGCUUACCAAGGCGAUGACGGGUAGCGGGUCUGAGAGGAUGAUCCGUCACACUGGGACUGAGACACUGCCCAGACUCCUACGGGAGGCUGCAGUCGAGAAUCUUCCACAAUGCCCGAAAGGGUGAUGGAGCGACGCUGCGUGUAGGAUGAAGGCCUUAGGGUUGUAAACCACUGUCGGGAGUUAGGAAAUGCGUGGUCGUUAAUAGCGGCUACGCUGACCAAAGCGACAGAGGAAGCCCGGCUAACUCCGUGCCAGCAGCCGCGGUAAUACGGAGGGCGCAAGCGUUGUUCGGAAUCACUGGGCAUAAAGAGCAUGUAGGCGGUCUUUUAAGUCGGAUGUGAAAGCCUUCCGCUUAACGAAGAACUGCAUUCGAUACUGAUUGACUCGAGGACAGGAGGGGAGAGUGGAACUUCAGGUGGAACGGUGAAAUGUGUAGAUAUCUGAAGGAACACCGGUGGCGAAAAGCGGCUCACUGGUCCGAAACUGACGCUGAGAUGCGAAAGCUAGGGUAGCAAACGGGAUUAGAUACCCCGGUAGUCCUAGCCGUAAACGAUGGGCACUAGGCAAUGGGAUUUCCCUAUGGUUCUCAUUGCCGUAGCUAACGCAUUAAGUGCCCCGCCUGGGGAGUACGCUCGCAAGGGUAAAACUCAAAGGAAUUGACGGGGGAUCACACAAGCGGUGGAGCAUGUGGUUUAAUUCGAAGCAACGCGAAGAACCUUACCUGGCCUUGACAUGUACGGAUUAGCAUCCUGAAAGGGUGACAGCUCUUCGGAGUCGGAACGUAUGCAGGUGUUGCAUGGCUGUCGUCAGCUCGUGUCGUGAGAUGUUGGGUUAAGUCCCGUAACGAGCGAAACCCUUGUCGUUAGUUGCUAACGGGUAAUGUCGGGGACUCUAACGAGACUGCUGUUGUAAAACGGAGGAAGGUGGGGACGACGUCAAGUCAUCAUGGCCCUUGUGGCCAGGGCGACACACGUGCUACAAUGGUCUAUACAAAGGGUUCCAAGACCGCGAGGUUUAGGCAAUCCCAUAAAGCCGAUCUCAGUUCAGAUUGCAGGCUGAAAUUCGCCUGCAUGAAGUUGGAAUCGCUAGUAAUCGCAGAUCAGCCACGCUGCGGUGAAUGUGUUCCCG
Molecule: ribosomal RNA, 1328 nt
Filed under: uncultured Planctomycetota bacterium
Lineage: Bacteria; Pseudomonadati; Planctomycetota
Description: bacterial SSU rRNA
Rfam family: Bacterial small subunit ribosomal RNA
Source: RNAcentral